AAGGAAUAUUGGUCAAUGGGCGGAAGCCUGAACCAGCUAUCCCGCGUGCAGGAUGAAUGCCCUACGGGUUGUAAACUGCUUUAGACUGGGAAGAAACCCCUCAAUGAGUUGGGGGCUGACGGUACCAGUAGAAUAAGCACCGGCUAACUCCGUGCCAGCAGCCGCGGUAAUACGGAGGGUGCAAGCGUUAUCCGGAAUCACUGGGUUUAAAGGGUGCGUAGGCGGCUUGGUAAGUCAGAGGUGAAAGCCCGCAGCUCAACUGCGGAACUGCCUUUGAUACUGCUGAGCUUGAAAGAGGACGAGGUUGGCGGAAUGUGGCAUGUAGCGGUGAAAUGCAUAGAUAUGCCAUAGAACACCGAUUGCGAAGGCAGCUGACUAGACCUGCUUUGACGCUGAGGCACGAAAGCGUGGGGAGCGAAC
Molecule: ribosomal RNA, 420 nt
Filed under: uncultured bacterium
Lineage: Bacteria
Description: bacterial SSU rRNA
Rfam family: Bacterial small subunit ribosomal RNA
Source: RNAcentral